RNAcentral lists this ribosomal RNA (407 nucleotides) under uncultured bacterium. Its description in RNAcentral is "partial 16S ribosomal RNA". It matches the Rfam family "Bacterial small subunit ribosomal RNA", at positions 28 to 526 of the family's 1533-position model. The record is from RNAcentral.
GACGAACGCUGGCGGCGUGCCUAAUACAUGCAAGUAGGACGCAAUUGCGAACGGGUGAGUAACGCGUAGGUAACUCCCUAUUAGUGGGGGCUAACUAUUGGAAAUGAUAGCUAAUACCGCAUACUAGUAGAUGGACCUGCGUUGUAUUAGCUAGUAGGUAGGGUAAUGGCCUACCUAGGCAACGAUACAUAGCCGGCCUGGGAGGGUGAUCGGGCACACUUGGACUGGGACACUGCCCAGACUCCCACGGGAGGCAGCAAUAGGGGAACUUCGGCAAUUGGGGGAACCCUGACCGAGCAACGCCGCGUGAGUGAAGAAGGUUUUCGGAUCGUAAAGCUCUGUUGUUAAGGAAGCGGUACUUAACCAGAAAGUUACGGCUAACUACGUGCCAGCAGCCGCGGUAAUAC